ACAGAGCAUGACUCCGGAAACACCGGAGCUUCUGAGCAGGGCCUAUUUCUAAAAAUGAUCGGAGGAGAAGAUGCUGCUGCAGUGUGAGCUGAGCAAGUAGCAGGCAACUGACAUCCGGAGAAAGAGAGGGAAAGCUUAAAGCAGGGUGGUGAUCAUGACCAUCCAGUGCCGGUCAGUUGUCUAUAGAAGGGGUGGUCUUCAGCUGCAUGACCCACACCACUGUCAGAGUUGAGGCGUCUGUCAGCCAAGAAGGUGGUGCUACGCGAGCUUCUCAUUGAGCGAUCCUUCAACUAUUCAGCACUGCAAACAGCUUUAGGAGCAGACAGUGCAACAGUUAUGUAGCCCAUACACUUGUGAGAUAUCAGGUACAAUCCUUCGAUUUCAACGGCAUCUUUGAGAGAAAUCGAAGGAUUGUAUGCACAUUUUAGGUACCUUGCGACGCGAUGUGCGGGCACGCCGGUCGAAUCUCGCGUCUCAAGACAGUAUAUUCUGCACUUAAUAUUUAUCGCAUCGCAGUGCGAUCGCAUGUGUUUUUAUAAACACAUGCAAUAUAUCGCACUGUGAUGGGCACCCGCUGGGAGUGGCCAGAUGCCGCUCCCACUCGGCGGUGACGUGCCCAUCACAUGAUUACCAUGCGAUCUAUUGCAUGGUAAUCACUUUGGCAGUACAGGUGCGAUUUCAUCGCACCUGAACUGCCGGUACGAUGCCCAGCGAUGUCGCGGCGUGGGGCAUCGCACAAGUGUAUGGGAACCAUUACACUUAUGCUACAGAUUUCCAUCUCUACAAAACCUAAACCUGUCACUCACCAUAUACCUUUAACUAUAACAUGUAUUCAGAGACAUUAGGACAGUUCUGGAGGUGACAGGGAGAACUACUAGUUUAACGUUGAUGAGGAAGAGAGACUGUUGUCCAUUAUCGCUGUAUUGGUAGGACAUCAUCACUAGCUCAGAGAAGGAAAGUUACCUUAUGAUACCACAAAAAUCUGUAAAAGGAAUGACAUUUUACAGCGAGGAAACAAGAUGAUUGAUGAUUUUAGAAAUGCUACAGGAAAUGUGGUGUGCGGGCUGCAGUUCAAUGCAAGUACCAUGGAAGGAAAAAUGUGGGAUUAAAGUCACCUCAGUCAGUAACCAGAUAUGGACAUGUACCAAAUGGAUUCUAUCACAAGAAUCCUGAGGAACUCUCUAAUCUGUUGAAGUUAACUGGUCCAGCUAACCUCUGUCCAUGUGGAACACUCCUUCCCUUCCCAGCUGUAUUCUGUCUCCUUUCUCCUUAUCUCUACACUCUCAUUUGUUUCCCCUUUCUCUCCUCUUCAUAUGGAUCUGUUAUAUUGUUUAGUAACUGUCUCCUAUUACUG
This is a long non-coding RNA of Pseudophryne corroboree (corroboree frog), 1354 nucleotides long. RefSeq lists it as uncharacterized. The record is from RefSeq and is a predicted model, not a curated record. NCBI's taxonomy places the organism in Eukaryota, Metazoa, Chordata, Amphibia, Anura, Myobatrachidae. The transcript has 3 exons.